RNAcentral lists this ribosomal RNA (253 nucleotides) under uncultured bacterium. RNAcentral's name for it is "partial 16S ribosomal RNA". It matches the Rfam family "Bacterial small subunit ribosomal RNA", at positions 524 to 776 of the family's 1533-position model. The record is from RNAcentral.
UACGAAGGGGGCUAGCGUUGCUCGGAAUUACUGGGCGUAAAGCGCACGUAGGCGGAUAUUUAAGUCAGGGGUGAAAUCCCAGAGCUCAACUCUGGAACUGCCUUUGAUACUGGGUAUCUCGAGUAUGGAAGAGGUGAGUGGAAUUCCUAGUGUAGAGGUGAAAUUCGUAGAUAUUAGGAAGAACACCGGUGGCGAAGGCGGCCCACUGGUCCGGUACUGACGCUGAGGUGCGAAAGCGUGGGGAGCAAACAGG